Molecule: long non-coding RNA, 1579 nt
Organism: Salvia miltiorrhiza (redroot sage)
Lineage: Eukaryota; Viridiplantae; Streptophyta; Magnoliopsida; Lamiales; Lamiaceae
Exons: 2
Source: RefSeq, a predicted model, not a curated record
CCUAGUCACAUCGUCCAUUAUGAAAAUCUCCAAAUCAACAAGGACCUUACAUACGAAGAAGAGCCAAGUGUUAUAUUAGAUCGAAAAGUAAAGGUCUUGCGAGGUAAAGAAAUACCCCUAGUCAAAAUUCAAUGGACUAGGCACGGACCUGAUGAAGCUACUUGGGAACGUGAAGAAGAAAUUCUAGCUCGAUAUCCCCAGUUAGAACCAAGUAAGUUAAAUUUCGAGGACGAAAUUUUAUUUAAGUGGGUAGGGUUGUAACAGCCCGAAACCAAAUAAUUCAUUUAAAUUUUUUUGUUUUGAAUUAUUUCAUAUUUAAAUUAUUUUGAAGCAUUUUAUAUUUAAAUUGUGAGGUUAUUUAAAACUUUAGUCUAUGUCAUGAAUUAUCUAAUCGCGCCGCUAGUUAGAUGUGACUUUGAACUAUAAAUUAUAUCUAUAAAAAAAAUAGAAAUUUAUUUUCCCAAAUAUUCUUUUAAUAUGAAUUUGGGCCUAAAUAAACUAUUUGCAGCCUAUUUAGCUCAUCUAUAUUGGGCCAUAAUUACUUAUUUAUUUAAUUACUUUUUGGGCUAGAUUUUUAAAAGAGCCCAUAACAUUUUAAUAGCUUAAUGGAAUAAUUCUUUUGUUUGUACUGUUUCCUAAUCUUGUGACUGCAAUACGUGUUUCCUUUCUCAAGAAGCCACAAUUUGUUUUCCAUUUUCAGCUUGUGACUGCAAUACGUGUUUCCUUUCUCAAGAAACCACAAUUUGUUUUCCAUUUUCAGCCAGCCAAAUUUGAUUUCUUUCCGUAAUAUUUGAUAAACACAGCAGCACGUAAGAUUUGAUCAACACAGCAACAAACUUUGAUUUCAAACUUUGAUUUCUACCGCAGCAAACUUUGAUUUCUUUCACACAGUAGUUGACGAACAAGUAAAUUCAAUCUAUUUAAACCUCAUUGUAUCAUCCUCAAAUUCACAAAUCAACAAAACAAAUUCAGUCUUUUAAGAUUCAUCCUGUUUCUUCCCACUGCCGAAUCUCCAUCGGUGCGGCGCGACUAGGACAUAACUGUUGAUCUGAAAUUAUUCAAGUUAUCUAUCAAAUCCAUAUUUUCAGGUGUGGGAUUUAUUUCAGUACAUGCACGUGGUUAAUAUUUGUCCAUUUUAAUAUUAUGUGUUUACCGUAUGUGUUGUAAAAAUAUUUAUCGCUAGGGGCCAGCAUAAUUGGUCCAGGACUUCACCGUCCUUGGUAUGCCACAAUGCGAUUUCAUGUUACAGGGUUGCAACCAUUAUAUUGUCGCCAGGGAUCCAUAUAUAGGGUCCGGGACAUUAAAGUCCUUGGAGUUGCCACAGUGCGUAUGGAAGUUAUGUUACGUUAUGACAAUAUGUGUUACCAUUUUAUUAACAUGGACAAUUAUUGCAUGUUCCCACACUGAGUGUACCCUGUAUGCUCAUCCCAUAUUCAACAGUUUCAGGUGAUUGAUAUCGGAGGCGCGUGGAGAGUCGAAUGGGCGCGUCGAAUCUAUUUAAAAAUAAAUGUUUCUUAAAACAUAUUAUGUUAUUUCAUGUGAUAUCUUUUGGUUAUGUAAACUCUGAAAUUCUAUACUA